This 559-nucleotide ribosomal RNA is filed under the name uncultured bacterium. RNAcentral's name for it is "partial 16S ribosomal RNA". It matches the Rfam family "Bacterial small subunit ribosomal RNA", at positions 355 to 905 of the family's 1533-position model. The record is from RNAcentral.
UGGGGAAUUUUGGACAAUGGGCGAAAGCCUGAUCCAGCAAUGCCGCGUGUGUGAAGAAGGCCUUCGGGUUGUAAAGCACUUUUGUCCGGAAAGAAAUCCUUGGCUCUAAUACAGUCGGGGGAUGACGGUACCGGAAGAAUAAGCACCGGCUAACUACGUGCCAGCAGCCGCGGUAAUACGUAGGGUGCAAGCGUUAAUCGGAAUUACUGGGCGUAAAGCGUGCGCAGGCGGUUUGCUAAGACCGAUGUGAAAUCCCCGGGCUCAACCUGGGAACUGCAUUGGUGACUGGCAGGCUAGAGUAUGGCAGAGGGGGGUAGAAUUCCACGUGUAGCAGUGAAAUGCGUAGAGAUGUGGAGGAAUACCGAUGGCGAAGGCAGCCCCCUGGGAUAACACUGACGCUCAUGCACGAAAGCGUGGGGAGCAAAACAGGAUUAGAUACCCUGGUAGUCCACGCCCUAAACGAUGUCAACUAGUUGUUGGGGAUUCAUUUCCUUAGUAACGUAGCUAACGCGUGAAGUUGACCGCCUGGGGAGUACGGUCGCAAGAUUAAAAGCUUAAA